Non-coding RNA from Xylariaceae sp. FL1272, 72 nucleotides. The record is from the annotation of a GenBank genome assembly. NCBI's taxonomy places the organism in Eukaryota, Fungi, Ascomycota, Sordariomycetes, Xylariales, Xylariaceae.
GCCCGCUUAGCUCAUCGGUAGAGCGCAUCACUAGUAAUGAUGAGGUAACUGGUUCGAUUCCAGUAGUGGGCA